RNAcentral lists this ribosomal RNA (482 nucleotides) under uncultured bacterium. RNAcentral describes it as "partial 16S ribosomal RNA". It matches the Rfam family "Bacterial small subunit ribosomal RNA", at positions 30 to 507 of the family's 1533-position model. The record is from RNAcentral.
AUUGAACGCUGGCGGCAUGCUUUACACAUGCAAGUCGAACGGUAACAGGCCGCUAGGUGCUGACGAGUGGCGCACGGGUGAGUAAUGCAUCGGAACGUGCCCAGUCGUGGGGGAUAACUACUCGAAAGAGUAGCUAAUACCGCAUACGAUCUAUGGAUGAAAGCGGGGGACCGUAAGGCCUCGCGCGAUUGGAGCGGCCGAUGUCAGAUUAGGUAGUUGGUGGGGUAAAGGCUCACCAAGACAACGAUCUGUAGCUGGUCUGAGAGGACGACCAGCCACACUGGGACUGAGACACGGCCCAGACUCCUACGGGAGGCAGCAGUGGGGAAUUUUGGACAAUGGGCGCAAGCCUGAUCCAGCAAUGCCGCGUGCAGGAAGAAGGCCUUCGGGUUGUAAACUGCUUUUGUACGGAACGAAACGGCUCUGGUUAAUACCCGGGGCUAAUGACGUUACCGUAAGAAUAAGCACCGGCUAACUACGUG